UGCUGAUCCGCAUCUGCACUUCUAUAUCAUGAUGGCCAGGGGCUCAACCGCAUCACACUGAGGGAGAUUAUCAGCCAUGAUAAAGCUGUGGUCCUUUUGAAAGCGGCACCGUGGCUUGGCUGACAUUUGACAAACCUGUGUGGAGUUGACAGCAUUGGUCUGUGGUCUACCUUAUUUGAAGCAAGGCUGCUUACAGCACAAAAAAAGGUUUGAGUUACUGUUUUGAGAAACACCGCCACGUUAACUGCAGGGCCCAGAGAACGAGAGCUGAUCUAGAGAGGCAUGAUCUCCACCUCCUCUGCCUUCAAAUCAAACUUGCCAAGGUUGCUUGUUAGUAAAAUGUCCAUAAUUAAG
This is a long non-coding RNA of Cyprinus carpio carpio, 354 nucleotides long. NCBI's taxonomy places the organism in Eukaryota, Metazoa, Chordata, Actinopteri, Cypriniformes, Cyprinidae. The record is from Ensembl.